GAUGUGUUUGUCUUGAUUAGUGGAAUGAUGAUCUAUAUUCUGAGUUAAUUUUUCUUAGUUGUGUAGAUGCGUAUAUUUCAUAAGGUACAAAGAUGAGUUUUUCAUUGAAU
Molecule: microRNA precursor, 110 nt
Organism: Gallus gallus (chicken)
Lineage: Eukaryota; Metazoa; Chordata; Aves; Galliformes; Phasianidae
Source: Ensembl